GUCAUCCUAUCAAAAAGCCUGCUUGAGCCCUCACAAGAAGUCUGCAAGCAAGGUUAUGCAAAUUGUUCUGCGCAUGUGUUCUUGGUGCACAUCCUUUCUCAGCCAGUGUUAACCGUGCCCUACCUUCCUGUCUCAGUCAAGCUCACCAAGGCCCAGGAAGGAUGGCUGGGCCUUCCUCAUGAUUUGGGAGGUUUGAGGGAUUGACCCCAAGACCCCGUGCACACUAGGCAAGUGUUCUACCACGACCCACACCGGCCACCCUGCAAGUUACCCGUUUUUCACACAGCUGACCGGAAGUGGUGCCAGGCACGUUUGACCUUGAGCUCCUGACAGUCUCCCUUCAGGAUAUCCGGCUAAUGGGGAGCUUCGGGGGAACACUUCCAGACAGAAAGACUGCUCGUGACUUCCGCUGCUUUCU
Fukomys damarensis (Damara mole-rat) is the source of this 418-nucleotide long non-coding RNA. RefSeq lists it as uncharacterized. NCBI's taxonomy places the organism in Eukaryota, Metazoa, Chordata, Mammalia, Rodentia, Bathyergidae. The transcript is spliced from 3 exons. The record is from RefSeq and is a predicted model, not a curated record.